This 72-nucleotide transfer RNA is filed under the name Camelus bactrianus (Bactrian camel). It matches the Rfam family "tRNA". Rfam says of the family: Transfer RNA (tRNA) molecules are approximately 80 nucleotides in length. Their secondary structure includes four short double-helical elements and three loops (D, anti-codon, and T loops). Further hydrogen bonds mediate the characteristic L-shaped molecular structure. tRNAs have two regions of fundamental functional importance: the anti-codon, which is responsible for specific mRNA codon recognition, and the 3' end, to which the tRNAs corresponding amino acid is attached (by aminoacyl-tRNA synthetases). tRNAs cope with the degeneracy of the genetic code in two manners: having more than one tRNA (with a specific anti-codon) for a particular amino acid; and 'wobble' base-pairing, i.e. permitting non-standard base-pairing at the 3rd anti-codon position. Lineage: Eukaryota; Metazoa; Chordata; Mammalia; Artiodactyla; Camelidae. RNAcentral also lists the same sequence under 1 other name. The record is from Rfam by way of RNAcentral.
GAAGAGAUAGCUCAGUGGUAGAGUGUGUGCCUAGCAUGCAUGAGGUCCUGGGUUCAAGCCCUAGUCCCUCCA